CCUACGGGUGGCAGCAGUGGGGAAUAUUGCACAAUGGGCGCAAGCCUGAUGCAGCCAUGCCGCGUGUAUGAAGAAGGCCUUCGGGUUGUAAAGUACUUUCAGCGGGGAGGAAGGGAGUAAAGUUAAUACCUUUACUCAUUGACGUUACCCGCAGAAGAAGCACCGGCUAAAUCCGUGCCAGCAACCGCGGUAAUACGGAGGGUGCAAGCGUUAAUCGGAAUUACUGGGCGUAAAGCGCACGCCGGCGGGUUGUUAAGGCAGAGGUGAAAUCCCCGGGCGCAACCUGGAAAUCGCAUUGGAUACUGGCAAGCUUGAGUCUCAGAGAGGGGGGUAGAAUUCCAGGUGUAGCGGUGAAAUGCGUAGAGAUCUGGAGGAAUACCGGUGGCGAAGGCGGCCCCCUGGACGAAGACUGACGCUCAGGUGCGAAAGCGUGGGGAGCAAACAGGAUUAGAUACCCGGGUAGUC
Molecule: ribosomal RNA, 465 nt
Filed under: uncultured bacterium
Lineage: Bacteria
Description: partial 16S ribosomal RNA
Rfam family: Bacterial small subunit ribosomal RNA
Source: RNAcentral